UUUCCCUCAGGAUAGCUGGCACUCGCUUGAACGAGUCUCAUCUGGUAAAGCGAAUGAUUAGAGGCCUUGGGGCCGAAACGACCUCAACCUAUUCUCAAACUUUAAAUGGGUGAGAUCUCUGGCUUGCUUGAACGUUGAAGCCACGAGAUAUGGGUCCACUGUGACCCCUUGGAUCAGAGUGCCAAGUGGGCCAAUUUUGGUAAGCAGAACUGGCGCUGUGGGA
RNAcentral lists this ribosomal RNA (223 nucleotides) under Chartocerus sp. D1024. Its description in RNAcentral is "partial 28S ribosomal RNA". It matches the Rfam family "Eukaryotic large subunit ribosomal RNA", at positions 967 to 1163 of the family's 3401-position model. The record is from RNAcentral. Lineage: Eukaryota; Metazoa; Arthropoda; Insecta; Hymenoptera; Signiphoridae.